RNAcentral lists this long non-coding RNA (1529 nucleotides) under Panax ginseng (ginseng). Its description in RNAcentral is "long non-coding RNA (PGIN_LNC015458)". The record is from RNAcentral. Lineage: Eukaryota; Viridiplantae; Streptophyta; Magnoliopsida; Apiales; Araliaceae.
GUUAAACUUCAGUAUAUUACAAAACACAAGCUUACAAGUGUUUAGAAAGAAGAAUCACUUAGUUUGCAGCACUCUGGCAUGGGUUACAGGCUAAAAUGAACAGAGUUUUCUCUCUUUUCUUCUUCUUUUAUUUAAAUGAUUUACUAAGAGCUCAUAUUUAAAGACCAGAUGGCCGUGGGUUAACCCGCAAUUGCCGCAUGUCUACUUGUGGCUGCUCAGGCUGCCCCGAGCCUUGCGGGUGUCGUCUCGAAGUAAGUGCACUCGAGCUACGCGUUGUCCGCUCGAACCUUCAUAACUUUUUAUCUGGGCAUCCGAUACAGGAGUGUAGUACCUUUUUGAAAAGCUAUUGUCGAGAGCUAUACAAGGACAUGGGAUUAGAGGUUGUACAAAGCUGAGAAGAUGGGCCCAUGACCAGAUCUCCAAGUCUUCAAUGUCUAUCCGUUGUGUUGACUUCUGCAGUUGUCACUCGGGAUUUGAGCUAUGGUUCUUGUGGGACAUCUUGAUACGCAGUUUGAGUUAAAUUAUGUUGAGACAACGUUGAUGUGAUGUUAAGGUGGCAAAGUGAUGAUUUUUCCCCUACCGGGGUUAUCUCCGAUUUUGACGCAUUUGUAGUAGUCAAUUCUCAGGGUUAUCUCUGAGCUUGGGCUGCUGUUGAUUCUGAAUGUCCUCAAUGUUAUCUCUGAGCUUGGCUUGACCUCUCGGGGUUAUCUUGGGGUGUGUACUGUAUCUUCGGGGGUUAUCUCCAGGGUUGAAACUGACUUUUCCGUGGUUAUCUCCAGAACUUGAACUGGAUCCCUCGGGGUUAUCUCCGAAGUUGAAACUGGAUCUCCCGAGUUAUCUCCGGGGUUGAAACUGAAUCUCCCGGGGUUGUCUUCGAGAUUAAAAAUUGGAUCUCCGGGGUUUAUCUCCGGGGUUGGAACUGAGUCUCCCAGAGUUAUCUCCAGGGUUGAAGCUGAUUUGACUUCCACGUUUAUCUCUGGAAGAUGAUUCAGCCCUCCUGCAGGGUUAGUAACAGGGUUAGUAACAGGAAUGCAAAUUUUUGAAUGUCUACACCAGUCUCAACUGAACAUCUUAAUGAGCUUGUUAUGGCAGUGCAGGAACUUUCUAAAGUGGUCAAGGAUCUGGCUUAAGGUGGGCAUAAUGAAAAAAAGUGGGAGAAGAGAAAGAGAGAUAACAUGUUUGAUUUGCCAUAUGAAGAUCAUCAACCCUCAACCUCUACCCCUACAACCACAUCAAUCCCUUUAGAUGAACAAACAAAUAUUCAUCCAUUUACUAACAUGGUGACAUCCAAUGGAUCGAGAAUACCAGGAGCAAAUGAACCUAGAUAUGAUAAUAGAAAUCUUCAGGGAAUAUCAAUUGAUGGUGAGCCACACUUGCAAACCUCCUUUGGCCCAAGAGAAACUUAAAAGGAGAUAAAUCAUAGAUAGGCCAAAGACAGGAAACUCUACGAACAGAGGAUGGUUAUGAGAGGCAAAACCCCCCAAAAGCAAACCACCGAAAAGACCCAGAUGCAUCAAAGACUACUCAAG